UGACACACCCCGUCCCGAAGGAGGGCGUGCUGGCCGUCACGUGAGAGUGACGUAACCAUUUACACAGUUCGGAAGCUUUAAAAAAAUUUCCAAUUACUAAGAUAACACACCCGAGGGUGAGUCCUACUUUUGUGAAUUCUGUCAGAACACCGUUGGAUUCCUCGUGGCCACCAAAGCUCUGCUAACUUGAACCUGGAGGGGCGCAAAACAAAAUUGAGUGGGUCAGUAAAACAAAGUUUUUCGAAAACUUUUCAUUUAAAACAUUUCUAACCCCUCACCGUAAAACCUGUAUACUUUCUCAGAAAAUAGCAUAUAUAUAUAAACAGAUAUAUAAGCAAAACUCUCAAAUCUCAAACCUUUAACACUUUUCAGAAAUUAUAUAUAUAUAUAUAUAUAUAUAUAUAUAUAUAUAUAUAUAUAUAUAUAACCAUAUGAAAUCUCAAAGCUUGAAUCCCAAAUCUUUAACAUUUUUCAAGAAAAACAUGCCAUGCCAUAAAUCAAAAUAUAUAAAUCAGGUGAAAUAAGGAAUCAAUCGGAGACCCUGCAGUUGGUCCUAUACGAUUAAUUCAAUAGCUCAAUAUCUCACUAAGCCGGAGUCACCACAGUGACCUAUACGGCCCUACUCUGCACAUCACUCGGAACUACGUAAGGUAGUCUAUACGAUGAAAGGUGUAAAAUACGCUCUAGUGCUUCUCUCAUCAUAUCAUCAGCGCGCAUAUCUAAGGUCACCCACCAGUCGGAACCCCUCUAAUGGUCUGUACGACUGGCAUGUCGGAACCCUUACAUGGUCUGUACGACAUCCACCUACUUGGAUCCAAGGCGAGCGUGCGGUGUGGUGAAUAAUAUAAGCACUAACACCUAGGGUGCAGAUUAUGAGCUCAAACAUCUCAACAACAACAAUUCAAUGAAUAAACGAACUCACCUGACUUACCUGUGCCUCCACAGCACCAUGCAACAUGUAUGCAUCAUAUAUCAAUCAUAUAACUCAUAUGAAAUUCACAUUUUCCAAAUAAUUCUAUGCAUGGCAUUUUCAAAACAUAAUUUCGCAUAAAAGCAUUUUUCUGGGAAAAACAAUAGUAUAUAGGUAAUACGAAAACAAAACUGCCCACUCACCUGGAGUUCGCCCACAACUCCCUAGCACCGUACAUCAAGGCGUCAUGACGAUUAGCGCCUAGAACAACAAUCAAAUCCAACCUCAGAAAUUCUGCCGAUAGAAUACAUAACUUAUAUAAGACACGUCACUACGUAGUUCGAUCCGGAUGAUCUGCAAUUCAGAUUUCAAAUCCGUAACUUCCAGAGGUCCACAAUAUACCUCUAGGACAACAUCCUAAAAUUUCAUUACCAUCCAACGGUCGGAUCUCCGUCAAUUUCCAAAACUAAGUGACGGUUAACAUUCUAUUUUAUGAACUUACAACUUCAAUUCCGGAAGAUCCGUAAAUCGGAUUCCCAAUCCGUAAGUUCCUAUAAUCCUCAAAUAUUACGUAUUACAACGUAUCAAAGUUUUGAUGACGAUCCAACGGUCGGAUCGUCAAUUCACAUUUUCACCUAACCACGAAAUCGUAACCAACUUAGGUUCAAUUAUUCAAUUUACGUCCAUCAAUUAUCAAAACAGAACCUAGAACCUUAAUCACAAGCUAAUAAUGACAUUGGCGGGCCAUUGGCCACGCGCCGCCGCGCGGGCCGCCGCGGGUGGCGGUUGGCCGCCCCCGGCUCGCCGGAAAAUUCAACUAUUUCCAAAAAUUACCAAAAUUUUCAGAUUUGAAGAUCUCAAUGAGUAGAACAACUUUCAUACCUGAGACCAAUGCCAAUUUGGCCUGGAAGUGCUUCAAUUUCACCAAAACCGUGAAGAACCCUAGAAUUUGGGUGUUUCCAAUUCGACCUUCAAACUUGUUCCAACGCCUCAAUUACCUCUUGGGCUUUGUUCUAGGUCCUAAAGGAAUGCUAAAGGUGUUAGUAAUUGAAAGAAAACAUUUCAAAAUUUGGAGAAUUUAAACAAAAGGGUCGCGGCACCCGUAGGGGUGUUCUUCGCGAAAUCACAACGAAAUUCAAUGAUUCUUGGGGUGAAACGUGAAGAGGGAAGGCCUAGAUGAUGAUUAGGAGUGGUACCUUGACUCAAUUCGUCGGAAAAUUGGACGAAAACGGCGAAAACCCGCCGAUUUGGAAGCUUGGGUCGCGCGGGUCAAGGGUGACCCAUUCCUCCUGUUCCCCCGUGCACCACUCUCCCUCCUUUCCCUCCUUUCCGUCCCCUGAUUGGUCAGCUUCUUCCUCUCCCUUCUUCUGGUUCACUCUCAUCUCUCUUCUUCUCCGAUUGGGCAUUUCUGCCCAGUCUCUUCUUCUUUUCUGUUUUUCUGUUUCUUCUUCUCAUACACAUACACACACCAAAAACCUUUCCCUCAUCCCAGCCAUCCAUUUCAUUCAUCAAUAAAUCUGGGCCGUCCAAUUUCAUAAAAGAAUUUCUAUAUUUUACUAAAAUUAUAAUUCCUUAAAAUUCCAAAUUUCAAACGUUAAUAACUUCUUCGAUAUAACUCCAAAUCACGAACCGUCUGCGCCCACCGCGUCCGUAACGACGAGUACUACGACGAGGAUAUGUCAAGAAAACAAAUCUUAGAUGGCACGACACAACGAUUAACCUCGAAUGAUGUGCGUGCCUCAAAGGGCAUUUUUGUAAUAUCCUUUAUUAAAACUUUAAAAAUUCUUAAAAUUAGGGACGGGCUGUCACAAUCUACCCACCUUACAGAAAUUUCGUCCUCGAAAUUUACACAAUCUUUACAAUCCAUCAAUAUCCAUGAAACAGCCCGAAACACAUCUCUCUCAUUCGAUUCUUUGACUUCUAAGUAGCUUCUUCCACUGAAAGAUUCCUGCAUAAACUUUCACCAAACUCAUAGUCUUAUUUCUCAGUACAUCAUCUUUCUAAUACAAGAUAGGCACUGGCUCCUCAUCAUACGUCAAAUCCAUAUUGACUUCCAAGGUUGAGAAGGUAUCACUCGUGAAGGAUAUGAGGUUUAAUGUCGAAGUAUCGAAACAUAAAACAUAUCAUGCCCUUUCAUCGGCUCUGGAGGCAACUCAGCCUGUACGUAACUUCACUGACUCGUUCGAUGAUCACAGAUGGUCUGACGUAUCUAGGACUUACUUGUUUUUCUUUUUAAAACAAAUCAUACCUUUCCAAGGUGAUAAUUUCAAAAUCAUUCGAUCACCUACAUAUACAUCCGGUCAGUGGCAUGUUUGUCUGCUAAGCUCUUCAGCCGAUCCUGGCCCACUUCCAGGUUAGACUUAAUUACUUGAAUAUUCCGAAUAGUCUCAUCCACUAACUCAGGGCCUUGAAUACUAUCCGUCCCCAAUUCUAACAAUUUCGAAACACAAGACAUAGCUUUCCACGGCCUUAUGGCGUUACUCUAGGGAACAAACUGAAGGGACCAACAUACCCAAGAAGUUUAACAGAUCCCAAAUCUCUUUUUCCAUAAAACAAACAAAUAAAUGUUGCGCUUGUCUGGAAAAGUUGGUGUUCUCAUACUGAAGUAACAUACGCUGACGUCACCAGUCGAUCAAUUAUUAUUCAAAUUCCAACCUAACUAUUUUGUAUACGAGGAAGCUUGUCCACGAAAUCCAUAGUAAUAUUCUCCCAUUUCCGCCGUGGAAUGGGAAAUGACUACAUUAAUCCAAAAGACUUAUUUCUUUCUGCUUUAACCUGAUGACUGAUGAUACGCCUACUAACAUACUUCGCCAUUCCUCUUUUCAUACCCGUCAAUAGUACAUGAACGAAUGGUAUGAUAAAUCUUAGUACUUUUUGGGAUGCAUUGUAGAAGUGGAAAUAAUGUACAUCGUCAAAAUUGCUUUCUUUAAUUCCACACCAUUAGGCAUAAACACUUUGUUCUUUUGCAUAGGCUUGCCAUCUGAUUCUCUAACUCUAAGGUCCUUCUUUUUCCCGUUAUUCCUUGCUUUAAAAUAAAUUCUUGAAUUUCUUCGUCAAACGCUCGAGUAUCGAGUACGAUCUACCAAAUGGGUCCAACUUAGAAAUUAGCAAGUAAGGCUUCUUCUCGAUUUUUGAUACUCAACUUUACUCCAGUAGAUUUCAAAUCCACAAGAAGAUGAACAUAGCAAGCGUACCAAGCAUUAAUUUCUCACUGGGGUCUUCCUACUAAAAUGCAUCAGCCACAACAUUAGCUUGACCACCCUCGUCACACAAUCAUAGUCACUAAGCAACUCAUUCCACCUUUGUUGCCUAAGAUUAAGAUACCUCUGAAUAAACAGAUAUUGGGUACUCUUUUGAUUUGUAACAAUCAUGCACUUUUCUUCCCAUAAAGACAAUGUCUCCAAAUCUUCAAAGCAAAGAUGAUAGCUGCUAAUUCCAAAUUAUAAUUAGGGUAAUUCAUCUUAUGAGAUCCCAAUGGCCAUGAAGCAUAGGCAAUCAUCCUACCAUGUUGCAUCAACACGCAUCCAAGUACAUUCAAAGAAGUAUUAUUAUAGACCACAUAAUUACCACUAUCGUCUGGGAGUGCGAAAACAGAUGCAUGAGUGAGGGAAUACUUUACUUGCUGAAGCUCUACUCACAAUUUUUUUUAUCCCACUCAAACUUAACCUCUUUUCUCAUCAAUCUCGCCAAGGGCGAAGCAAUAAUUAAAAUCUUGGACGAACUAUCGACAAUAUCCUGCUAAUCCGAGAAAACUCUGAACCUCAGUCACAGUUCGCAAUUGUUCCAAAUUCUCAAUCGUUGCUACUCUUUUAAGAAUCCAUUUGAAUACCUUAAGUAGAUAUAAUUAAUUUAUCCAACAUUAGCAUUUGCUAAACUUAGCAUACAUCAACGUUCCCUCAAUCUUUGCAACACCAACUUUAAAUAUCUAGCAUGCACUGCUCUAAUCUUAUCAAUCUCGUCAAUGGCAAACAAUAACAACCCGGUCCAGAUAUCACUGGAAUACUUCCUUCAGCAAACUCAUAAAAGUAGCAGGUGCAUUCGUCACUCCGUAUGGCCUCCCAACUUGAAAUGACCAUAACGAGUCCUGGAUUUAGUCUUAUGAACAUCCUCACUGUUAAUCUUCAACUAAUAUCAUUCAGACCUCAAGUCAAUCUCAGAAAGUACCCAGGCGCCUCAGAGCUGAUCAAAUAAUCAUCAAUACACAACAAUGGAUAACAGCUCUCAAUCGUUACCCGAUUCAAUUACCUAAUAUCAAUGCCUAGCCUUAAUGUCCAUUUUCUUCCUCACAAAUAAACCGGAGCUUUUCCAAUGUGAUAAUAUAAGUUGAAAUGGAACUUUUAACUCAACCUGAACCAAUCUCUAACAUAGGAUUUGUACCUAAAAAACAAUUCAAUAAUAAAACCCACAUCUCUCUGCCUGGCGGCAAUCUAGGUAAGGCAUCUGGGAAUACACCAAGAAAAUGUCUAACCAUCUUUACAUCUUCCAUACUAUUAGGAUCAACAUCAUUUAGCACCAUAUGAACUCAAUAUCUUGGCAGCCUUUUGAUAACAAUCUUCUUUGCUCUCUCAACAGGAAUAAUGGCAUAACUCACUCCACUUUACUUACCCCCAAAAGUAACCUCUGGUCAUCCAGGUCGACAAAAAUUAACUGAUUCCCCAUAGCAAUCUAGCUUGACACAAAUAUACAUUUCCUCUACCAGAGUCAUCUUGUCUCAGAAAUCUGGGAUCACUAGUAAAUCUAUCACUUCGCCUCUGACCAGUGGCAGUAAAACCUAAGCUGGGAAAAUUAGCUCUAAUUUCACCUCCUUUGAAGCUCUGAGUCCUCCGAGGUCUUUGAUAUGACGAAUCUUUAACUUUAUCGUCUUAUUCUGAUUCUCAUUCCUUUCUUAUUCCUCUUUACUCUCGCUGAUCAUAUUCUCAAAGUCUUCAAAGCCCAACAACAUCUCGUAAACUCUUGGUAAAAAGUACAAUGGAUAGUGGUCGCCAAAGAACGCAACUUCUUCUUAUUAUCCAGCCAAAAACGACAUAACACCUCGACCGAAUUAACAACAUCAGAAUGGAAACAAGGCAAGUCUGUAAACUUUCUAUAAUAUUCAUCCGUCGUCAUUUUCCUUGUCUCACAUUUGCAAUUUCUUGUUUACUACCAUCACAAUAUGCCGGGGGAAUGAACUUUUCUUAAACAAUUCUUUAACCAACUUCCAAACAGUUGUCCUUCCGAUAUCGUCGGAUAACAUUCCUAUCUCCAUCAAAAUGCAGAUUCAUCACUCAAAAACUAGGUAAAUCAUCUCGACCUACCUAUCGGGAGGAAAAUUCCCUUAACCUUGCAUAAUCUGAAACGCCUUUUCCCAAUUGAUUAAGCCAUCAAUCUGCUCCCUUAGGUCCUUCAUAUCCCUAAAGGGAUUCAAAUUUAACUUAUAACCAGUCUCAAAAGGUCCCUUUAGAUAAUAGACUGAAUCACAAUGGCAAUAGUUUCCCCCCAAACUACUAUAUCAGGGAAAUUAGGCUCAUCCGAACUACGUGGCUCGCUACGAGGCGGUAUAGUUCUGACAGAAGACACUAGGAAAUUAUCAAGAUGUCCAGAAUUGCAACCUAGGCUCUGAUACCAACUGACACACCCCGUCCCGAAGGAGGGCGUGCUGGCCGUCACGUGAGAGUGACGUAACCAUUUACACAGUUCGGAAGCUUUAAAAAAAUUUCCAAUUACUAAGAUAACACACCCGAGGGUGAGUCCUACUUUUGUGAAUUCUGUCAGAACACCGUUGGAUUCCUCGUGGCCACCAAAGCUCUGCUAACUUGAACCUGGAGGGGCGCAAAACAAAAUUGAGUGGGUCAGUAAAACAAAGUUUUUUCGAAAAACUUUUCAUUUAAAACAUUUCUAACCCCUCACCGUAAAACCUGUAUACUUUCCCAGAAAAUAGCAUAUAUAUAAACAUAUAUAUAAGCAAAACUCUCAAAUCUCAAACCUUUAACACUUUUCAGAAAUAUAUAUAUAUAUAUAUAUAUAUAUAUAUAUAUAUAUAUAUAACCAUAUGAAAUCUCAAAGCUUGAAUCCCAAAUCUUUAACAUUUUUCAAGAAAAACAUGCCAUGCCAUAAAUCAAAAUAUAAAUCAGGUGAAAUAAGGAAUCAAUCGGAGACCCUGCAGUUGGUCCUAUACGAUUAAUUCAAUAGCUCAAUAUCUCACUAAGCCGGAGUCACCACAGUGACCUAUACGGCCCUACUCUGCACAUCACUCGGAACUACGUAAGGUAGUCUAUACGAUGAAAGGUGUAAAAAUAUGCUCUAGUGCUUCUCUCAUCAUAUCAUCAGCGCGCAUAUCUAAGGUCACCCACCAGUCGGAACCCCUCUAAUGGUCUGUACGACUGGCAUGUCGGAACCCUUACAUGGUCUGUACGACAUCCACCUACUUGGAUCCAAGGCGAGCGUGCGGUGUGGUGAAUAAUAUAUAAGCACUAACACCUAGGGUGCAGAUUAUGAGCUCAAACAUCUCAACAACAACAAUUCAAUGAAUAAACGAACUCACCUGACUUACCUGUGCCUCCACAGCACCAUGCAACAUGUGUAUGCAUCAUAUAUCAAUCAUAUAACUCAUAUGAAAUUCACAUUUUCCAAAUAAUUCUAUGCAUGGCAUUUUCAAAACAUAAUUUCUCAUAAAAGCAUUUUUCUGGGAAAAACAAUAGUAUAUAGGUAAUACGAAAACAAAACUGCCCACUCACCUGGAGUUCGCCCACAACUCCCUAGCACCGUACAUCAAGGCGUCAUGACGAUUAGCGCCUAGAACAACAAUCAAAUCCAACCUCAGAAAUUCUGCCGAUAGAAUACAUAACUUAUAUAAGACACGUCACUACGUAGUUCGAUCCGGAUGAUCUGCAAUUCAGAUUUCAAAUCCGUAACUUCCAGAGGUCCACAAUAUACCUCUAGGACAACAUCCUAAAAUUUCAUUACCAUCCAACGGUCGGAUCUCCGUCAAUUUCCAAAACUAAGUGACGGUUAACAUUCUAUUUUAUGAACUUACAACUUCAAUUCCGGAAGAUCCGUAAAUCGGAUUCCCAAUCCGUAAGUUCCUAUAAUCCUCAAAUAUUACGUAUUACAACGUAUCAAAGUUUGAUGACGAUCCAACGGUCGGAUCGUCAAUUCACAUUUUCACCUAACCACGAAUCGUAACCAACUUAGGUUCAAUUAUUCAAUUUACGUCCAUCAAUUAUCAAAACAGAACCUAGAACCUUAAUCACAAGCUAAUAAUGACAUUGGCGGGCCAUUGGCCACGCGCCGCGCCGCGCGGCCGCCGCGCGGGUGGCGGUUGGCCGCCCCCGGCUCGCCGGAAAAUUCAACUAUUUCCAAAAAUUACCAAAAUUUUCAGAUUUGAAGAUCUCAAUGAGUAGAACAACUUUCAUACCUGAGACCAAUGCCAAUUUGGCCUGGAAGUGCUUCAAUUUCACCAAAACCGUGAAGAACCCUAGAAUUUGGGUGUUUCCAAUUCGACCUUCAAACUUGUUCCAACGCCUCAAUUACCUCUUGGGCUUUGUUCUAGGUCCUAAAGGAAUGCUAAAGGUGUUAGUAAUUGAAAGAAAACAUUUCAAAAUUUGGAGAAUUUAAACAAAAGGGUCGCGGCACCCGUAGGGGGUGUUCUUCGCGAAAUCACAACGAAAUUCAAUGAUUCUUGGGGUGAAACGUGAAGAGGGAAGGCCUAGAUGAUGAUUAGGAGUGGUACCUUGACUCAAUUCGUCGGAAAAUUGGACGAAAACGGCGAAAACCCGCCGAUUUGGAAGCUUGGGUCGCGCGGGUCAAGGGUGACCCAUUCCUCCUGUUCCCCCGUGCACCACUCUCCCUCCUUUCCCUCCUUUCCGUCCCCUGAUUGGUCAGCUUCUUCCUCUCCCUUCUUCUGGUUCACUCUCAUCUUCUUCUUCUCCGAUUGGGCAUUUCUGCCCAGUCUCUUCUUCUUUUCUGUUUUCUGUUUCUUCUUCUCAUACACAUACACACACCAAAAACCUUUCCCUCAUCC
RNAcentral lists this long non-coding RNA (8909 nucleotides) under Malus domestica (apple). RNAcentral describes it as "long non-coding RNA (MDOM_LNC004067)". The record is from RNAcentral. Lineage: Eukaryota; Viridiplantae; Streptophyta; Magnoliopsida; Rosales; Rosaceae.